Long non-coding RNA from Conger conger (European conger), 930 nucleotides. RefSeq lists it as uncharacterized. NCBI's taxonomy places the organism in Eukaryota, Metazoa, Chordata, Actinopteri, Anguilliformes, Congridae. The transcript has 3 exons. The record is from RefSeq and is a predicted model, not a curated record.
UGGCGUGAUUAGACCAAUGGCUGUGAAUGGGUUGAUACCUAUGUUAAGGUGGUAUAGGGCGUGCUGCACUAUUUAAACUGCUUGGCUCAGGCGGAUGUCACAGAAGUACCACUAAGAAGACGUUUACGGUCAAUUCGCUCAUUCGUAGGCUAAUCCCAGAGACCUUGGAAUGGAAACUGAAACUGAAAACCCUAUCAGCGGAGAAGUGAAAGGGUUUAAGAGGGAAAGCCUGAAACGUGUUGAAAUGAAUGUGAAGAACAUACUUCCCUCAGAUGACGACAUUAAGAAGGAGAAGCAGGAGGAGAAACAAACCCCAGCUGCCAAAGGAUGCAAAUGACAAGCGCUCCAAACCCAAAAUGAUGAGUUCUACAUCCCCCCCCCCUCUUAUCCCUUGACAAGAGCACUGCACAAUUCCCUCUCCUCCAUUUAUUAAUUCCUCCCUGUAUAAAUUGAUUAUUAUUCAACACAGUUUUAGUGGGAAGGUAGAGCCAAAUUAAAAUUAGGGGAAGGAAUCCAAUUUUCAAGCCAUUUUGCGAUCACACCCAUCACAGAUUCAUAUUCAGAUGUAUUCUGUAAAGAGGAAGAAGGAAUUGAAAGGGGGAGAGGCCAGGUGGAUGACAUGUUGAGUGCAAGGCACUUUCUCCAAUAAAAUGUCAACAACUGCCCACUGUAAUGCCCCACAUGUAUUUGGUGCCAUUCUGGAUUUGUCAUUCAUAAAGUAAUGUUGUAAAGUAAAGUAAAGAUUUUUGUAAAAAAAUACAAAUAAACAAAAUGUUUUAAAAUAAAAUCAUUGUAGCCGAUACUUUAUUCUCUCUACAGUAGCCAUGCUUGUCAAAAAUGUUUUGCUUAAGAAAUAAUCAUGUGUUUCAUCAUUGUUUACCCACAAUACAUCAUUUGUAAAAUAAAGAAGUAAAAUAUUUGAAAAUAAAA